Molecule: long non-coding RNA, 501 nt
Filed under: Fukomys damarensis (Damara mole-rat)
Lineage: Eukaryota; Metazoa; Chordata; Mammalia; Rodentia; Bathyergidae
Description: lncRNA (ENSFDAG00000031812.1)
Source: RNAcentral
UUCGUGUUUACAUCGUAACGGGUGGAAAAGGUGUAUGGGACCUCGGAGAGCCAUGAAUCCCAAAUUAAGAAGUAUGGCUUUGAAUCAUUAUACAACGUGGAAGAAGCUGCUGUCCUCGGGAACUUGGAGCUACACAGGAACUUCUGUGGACAUUGAGAGAACUGUCCCUGGUGGCCAGAACAGAUGGUCUCAAUCCCAAUGCUGCCCUGAUGUUUGUAGCCAAGAGUUAAGAAGAUUAGGAUUCUGAAGGUAUGAACAAGGGACUUCAACAUCUUAUUUUUAAGGAAAAUAUGGUACAUUUGAGACUGUUUAAGUUACUUCCACAGCCUGACCCCACCCCACUUUCUUUUGGCUCUUCCUCCUGUUAAGGGAAGAACUUUUCUUUUGCUAGCAGCUUGUGGGUUGUGAUGAAAUAGAUAAAGGUACAAGGGGAAAAAAAGAAGGAAAGACGUGUUUUCCAGCAUUGAGGAGGUGGCCUGAGGGCAGCAGGACAAAGCAAGC